RNAcentral lists this long non-coding RNA (222 nucleotides) under Olea europaea (common olive). RNAcentral's name for it is "long non-coding RNA (OEUR_LNC000377)". The record is from RNAcentral. Lineage: Eukaryota; Viridiplantae; Streptophyta; Magnoliopsida; Lamiales; Oleaceae.
GCUAAAGUUAUUCCCAUUGUAGUAAAGCUAGGACACAGUCGCUUCCAAUUAAUUUGAAUUUGAACAAGUCUAAUUUGAGUUUCAUGUUUGGUCUUGUUUAGUCCCCAAUUUUGAAUGUAGUUAUUUAAUUUAGAUUUUGAAGCCUUUACCCCAAGGACAAUUUUCUAUGAGCAUAAGAAAUUUCUUGAAAAUCCCAUUUAUGAAGAAGGCCAUGUUACAAGG